RNAcentral lists this ribosomal RNA (486 nucleotides) under uncultured Lachnospiraceae bacterium. Its description in RNAcentral is "bacterial SSU rRNA". It matches the Rfam family "Bacterial small subunit ribosomal RNA", at positions 46 to 526 of the family's 1533-position model. The record is from RNAcentral. Lineage: Bacteria; Bacillati; Bacillota; Clostridia; Lachnospirales; Lachnospiraceae.
GCCUAACACAUGCAAGUCGAACGGAGAUAAGCGCUGAUGAUUUAGCUUGCUAGAGAUUCUUGCUUAUCUUAGUGGCGGACGGGUGAGUAACGCGUGAGCAACCUGCCUUUCAGAGGGGGAUAACGUCUUGAAAAGGACGCUAAUACCGCAUGAUAUUAUGGAGCCACAUGGCUCUAUAAUCAAAGGAGCAAUCCGCUGAAAGAUGGGCUCGCGUCCGAUUAGGUAGUUGGCGGGAUAACAGCCCACCAAGCCGACGAUCGGUAGCCGGACUGAGAGGUUGAACGGCCACAUUGGGACUGAGACACGGGCCAGACUCCUACGGGAGGCAGCAGUGAGGGAUAUUGGUCAAUGGGGGAAACCCUGAACCAGCAACGCCGCGUGAGGGAUGACGGCCUUCGGGUUGUAAACCUCUGUCCUCUGUGAAGAUAAUGACGGUAGCAGAGGAGGAAGCUCCGGCUAACUACGUGCCAGCAGCCGCGGUAAUAC